Molecule: ribosomal RNA, 206 nt
Filed under: uncultured bacterium
Lineage: Bacteria
Description: partial 16S ribosomal RNA
Rfam family: Bacterial small subunit ribosomal RNA
Source: RNAcentral
CGCGCAGGCGGCUGGUCAAGUCCGAUGUGAAAUCUCCCGGCUCAACUGGGAAACUGCAUCGGAAACUGAUCGGCUUGAAGGUGGGAGAGGGUAGUGGAAUUCCCGGUGUAGUGGUGAAAUGCGUAGAUAUCGGGAGGAACACCAGUGGCGAAGGCGACUACCUGGCCCAUUCUUGACGCUGAGGCGCGAAAGCUAGGGGAGCAACG